This 469-nucleotide ribosomal RNA is filed under the name uncultured bacterium. RNAcentral describes it as "partial 16S ribosomal RNA". It matches the Rfam family "Bacterial small subunit ribosomal RNA", at positions 28 to 507 of the family's 1533-position model. The record is from RNAcentral.
GACGAACGCUGGCGGCGUGCUUAACACAUGCAAGUCGAACGGUGAAGCGAGUGCUUGCACUCGUGGAUCAGUGGCGAACGGGUGAGUAACACGUGAGUAACCUGCCCAUCACUCUGGGAUAAGCACUGGAAACUGUGUCUAAUACUGGAUACGACCAACCCUUGCAUGGGGUGUUGUGGGAAAGAUUUGUCGGUGAUGGAGGGACUCGGGGCCUAUCAGCUUGUUGGCGGGGUAAUGGCCCACCAAGGCGACGACGGGUAGCCGGCCUGAGAGGGGGACCGGCCAACAUGGGACCGGGAAAAGGGCCAGAAUCCUAAGGGGGGGAGGAGUGGGGGAUAUUGGCACAUGGGGCAAAGCCUGAUGCAGCGAAGCCGGGUGAGGGAUGGAGGCCUUUGGGUUGUAAACCUCCUUCCGCAGGGAAGAAGCGAAAGGUAAGGUAACUGCAGAAGAAGCCACGGCUAAACAAGUG